RNAcentral lists this ribosomal RNA (492 nucleotides) under uncultured soil bacterium. RNAcentral describes it as "bacterial SSU rRNA". It matches the Rfam family "Bacterial small subunit ribosomal RNA", at positions 26 to 517 of the family's 1533-position model. The record is from RNAcentral.
AGAUUGAACGCUGGCGGCAGGCCUAACACAUGCAAGUCGAGCGGUAGAGAGGUGCUUGCAUCUCUUGAGAGCGGCGGACGGGUGAGUAAUGCCUAGGAAUCUGCCUAGUGGUGGGGGAUAACGUUCGGAAACGGACGCUAAUACCGCAUACGUCCUACGGGAGAAAGCGGGGGACCUUCGGGCCUCGCGCCAUUAGAUGAGCCUAGGUCGGAUUAGCUAGUUGGUGAGGUAAUGGCUCACCAAGGCGACGAUCCGUAACUGGUCUGAGAGGAUGAUCAGUCACACUGGAACUGAGACACGGUCCAGACUCCUACGGGAGGCAGCAGUGGAGAAUAUUGGACAAUGGGCGAAAGCCUGAUCCAGCCAUGCCGCGUGUGUGAAGAAGGUCUUCGGAUUGUAAAGCAACUUUAAGUGGAGGAAGGUUGUAACCUAAUACGUUGCAACUUUGACGUUACCGACAGAAUAAGCACGGCUAACUCGUGCCAGCAGCCG